RNAcentral lists this ribosomal RNA (982 nucleotides) under Mortierella sossauensis. Its description in RNAcentral is "eukaryotic LSU rRNA". It matches the Rfam family "Eukaryotic large subunit ribosomal RNA", at positions 92 to 933 of the family's 3401-position model. Lineage: Eukaryota; Fungi; Mortierellomycota; Mortierellomycetes; Mortierellales; Mortierellaceae. The record is from RNAcentral.
AGUGAAGCGGGAUGAGCUCAAAUUUGAAAUCUGGCUGGUUUACUAGUCUGAGUUGUAAUUUAAAGAAGCGUUUUCGGUGGCAGCCUGGGUAUAAAUCCUUUGGAAUAGGGUAUCAUAGAGGGUGAGAAUCCCGUCUUUGACCUAGUGCAUGCUACUAUGUGAUACGUUUUCAAAGAGUCGAGUUGUUUGGGAAUGCAGCUCAAAAUGGGUGGUAAAUUUCAUCUAAAGCUAAAUAUUGGCGAGAGACCGAUAGCGAACAAGUACCGUGAGGGAAAGAUGAAAAGAACUUUGAAAAGAGAGUUAAACAGUGCGUGAAAUUGUUGAAAGGGAAACGUUUGACACCAGUCAUGUGGGUGGAAAAUCAGUCUUUUGCAUUGGGGAGUUGUAAGGGUUCGGACCGCAAGGCCGGCUUUUGCUUCAUCUUUGGUGUAAGUGAUGCACUUUUUCAUCUACAGGUCAACAUCAGUUUCUUUUGCUGGACAAAACUCCGAGAGAAGGUAGCAGCUUAGGCUGUGUUAUAGCUCUGGAGCGAUACAGUGAAGGGGACUGAGGUUUUCGCAGCGUGUGCUCUCGGGCAAGGCUGGAUGGGUGCUAUGGGAUCGUUCGGGGUACAAUGCCUGGCAUUUUGCUUCGUGUCUUUUCUAUACUCGCUCAACUCAGCUCUUCCACGCUUAGGAUGUUGACUUAAUGGUUUUAAACGACCCGUCUUGAAACACGGACCAAGGAGUCUAACAUAUAUGCAAGUGUUUGGGUGGCAAACCCAUGCGCGUAAUGAAAGUGAACGUAGGUGCGAUCCGCAAGGUGCAGCAUCGACCGAUCUUGAUAUUUUUGGAUAGAUUUGAGUAAGAGCAUAUAUGCUGGGACCCGAAAGAUGGUGAACUAUGCCUGAAUAGGGUGAAGCCAGAGGAAACUCUGGUGGAGGCUCGUAGCGAUUCUGACGUGCAAAUCGAUCGUCAAAUUUGGGUAUAGGGGCGAAAGACUA